Molecule: long non-coding RNA, 784 nt
Organism: Homo sapiens (human)
Lineage: Eukaryota; Metazoa; Chordata; Mammalia; Primates; Hominidae
Source: Ensembl
AAACAGUCCCAUGCUGGGGUGCCGGAGGUUAGGGCUUCAACAUAGGAUUGCAGGGGACAGGACACAGAAUGUGACACCAGGCAGGCAAUGUGUGUCCCUCAGGGGGCCUGGGUUCCGGGAAUCUGCACCCAGAUUGCACACCCCAUGGAGCAGGAGCACUUCCCGACAAGAAACUUGGCACAGGUCCAAUGGUUGGGGCUGGUGUCCUGCCGUCCUGGGUGGUAAAGGAAUUUACCGAGACGGUCCCAGGACACUCCUGAGCCUGGGUGGACGUGCUCGGGUGCUAUAAUGGGAGCAAAAACGGAUGCAACAGGCUGAAGAGCAGUUUGGGAGCCUCAGGUGAAGAUGCUGAGACCCAGGGAGGCAGUUUCCCGGAAACAACCUAAAUGCCCAGCAGCAGACAAAGGGCAUAUUGAGAAAAACAUCAGCAACAACUCUGGCAAAGCCUUAAUAUCCUCCACGUUUAAGGAGCAUUUAUCCACCACCAGGAGACAAAUGGUUUGAAUGGCCUUUUCCUUCACUUCCAUGAGGUCCCUGGAGGCACAGGACAGACCCGCAAACAGGAAGAGCAGUGGGGCAGGCCACAGGCUGGCACCCAGCACCCAGCCCAGCAGGCGAGUUCUAUUUAAACGAAGAAAGAAAGCACAUUCCAGAUCCUUUUGUUCAUCCAGAGACUUCAGGUAAAAAUUGAGGCAAUUAAAUUAUGCAUCCUGGCGGCUUUCUCUCACCGUCAGCACGAGUCGAGAUUUUUUUUUUUUUGAGAAGUAAAACAUGAAAUUCAAAA